This 326-nucleotide ribosomal RNA is filed under the name uncultured eukaryote. RNAcentral's name for it is "partial 18S ribosomal RNA". It matches the Rfam family "Eukaryotic small subunit ribosomal RNA", at positions 1470 to 1796 of the family's 1831-position model. The record is from RNAcentral.
CCCUUAGAUGUUCUGGGCUGCACGCGCGCUACACUGAAGCUAUCAACACGUUUUCCCUCCCUGAGAAGGGCGGGUAACCUUUUGAAUCAGCUUCGUGGUAGGGAUCGGGGCUUGCAAUUGUUCCCCGUGAACCAGGAAUUCCUAGUAGACGCGAGUCAUAAGCUCGCAUCGAUUAAGUCCCUGCCCUUUGUACACACCGCCCGUCGCUACUACCGAUUGAACGUUUUAGUGAGGUAUUUGGACUGGGCCUUGGGAGGUUUCGGCCUCCCUUGUUGCUCGGAAAGACUCCCAAACUUGAGCGUUUAGAGGAAGUAAAAGUCGUAACA